This 251-nucleotide ribosomal RNA is filed under the name uncultured Pseudomonas sp. RNAcentral describes it as "partial 16S ribosomal RNA". It matches the Rfam family "Bacterial small subunit ribosomal RNA", at positions 102 to 355 of the family's 1533-position model. The record is from RNAcentral. Lineage: Bacteria; Pseudomonadati; Pseudomonadota; Gammaproteobacteria; Pseudomonadales; Pseudomonadaceae.
ACGGGUGAGUAAUGCCUAGGAAUCUGCCUGGUAGUGGGGGACGAACGUUUCGAAAGGAACGCUAAUACCGCAUACGUCCUACGGGAGAAAGCAGGGACCUUCGGGCCUUGCGCUAUCAGAUGAGCCUAGGUCGGAUUAGCUAGUUGGUGAGGUAAUGGCUCACCAAGGCGACGAUCCGUAACUGGUCUGAGAGGAUGAUCAGUCGCACUGGAACUGAGACACGGUCCAGACUCCUACGGGAGGCAGCAGCU